Molecule: ribosomal RNA, 464 nt
Filed under: uncultured Veillonellaceae bacterium
Lineage: Bacteria; Bacillati; Bacillota; Negativicutes; Veillonellales; Veillonellaceae
Description: bacterial SSU rRNA
Rfam family: Bacterial small subunit ribosomal RNA
Source: RNAcentral
CCUACGGGGGGCUGCAGUGGGGAAUCUUCCGCAAUGGACGAAAGUCUGACGGAGCGACGCCGCGUGAGUGAUGAAGGCCCUUGGGUCGUAAAGCUCUGUCAUCAGGGACGAACGGUCACGUCAGGAAAUGGGCGUGAAUUGACGGUACCUGAGAAGGAAGCCACGGCUAACUACGUGCCAGCAGCCGCGGUAAUACGUAGGUGGCGAGCGUUGUCCGGAAUUAUUGGGCGUAAAGCGCGCGCAGGUGGGAUCUUAAGUCUGUUCUGAAAGUUCGGAGCUUAACUCCGUGAUGGGAUGGAAACUGGGAUUCUUGAGUAUCGGAGAGGAAAGCGGAAUUCCCCGUGUAGCGGUGAAAUGCGUAGAUAUGGGGAGGAACACCAGUGGCGAAGGCGGCUUUCUGGACGAUGUCUGACACUGAGGCGCGAAAGCCAGGGGAGCGAACGGGCUUAGAUACCCCAGUAGUC